RNAcentral lists this unclassified non-coding RNA (208 nucleotides) under Hevea brasiliensis (rubber tree). The record is from RNAcentral. Lineage: Eukaryota; Viridiplantae; Streptophyta; Magnoliopsida; Malpighiales; Euphorbiaceae.
UUUUGUUUAAUAGAUUUUUUUUUUCUUACUGAUUUAAACUGAAAAGCUGAAUAGCCAACAGAGGAAGGAGAAAUAAUAUUUUCCACUAUAUGAAGUGAAAGCAAAAGUGAAAAAUCCAAUAAAAGAAUAAAAGAAUCAUGUUUAGUACAAUUGAUGAUAUCUCAGUGUUGUGGCUUAGGAAAAGUUGCAUUCUGGAGGAAAGCCUUGG